GAUGAACGCUGGCGGCGUGCCUAAUACAUGCAAGUCGAGCGAACAGACGAGGAGCUUGCUCCUCUGACGUUAGCGGCGGACGGGUGAGUAACACGUGGAUAACCUACCUAUAAGACUGGGAUAACUUCGGGAAACCGGCGCUAAUACCGGAUAAUAUCUUGCACCGCAUGGUUCAAUAGUGAAAGACGGUUUUGCUGUCACUUCUCGAUGGAUCCGCGCCGCAUUAGCUAGUUGGUAAGGUAACGGCUUACCAAGGCAACGAUGCGUAGCCGACCUGAGAGGGUGAUCGGCCGCACUGGAACGGAGACACGGUCCAGACGCCUACGGGAGGCAGCAGGAGGGAAUCGUCCGCAAUGAGCGAAAGCCUGACGGCGCAACGCCGCGUGAGUGAUGAAGAUCUUCGGAUCGUAAAACUCUGUUAUUAGGGAGGAACAAAUGUGUAAGUAACUAUGCACGUCUUGACGGUACCUAAGCAGAGAGCCACGGCUAACUACGUG
This 497-nucleotide ribosomal RNA is filed under the name uncultured bacterium. RNAcentral describes it as "partial 16S ribosomal RNA". It matches the Rfam family "Bacterial small subunit ribosomal RNA", at positions 28 to 507 of the family's 1533-position model. The record is from RNAcentral.